RNAcentral lists this long non-coding RNA (404 nucleotides) under Bos taurus (domestic cattle). RNAcentral describes it as "long non-coding RNA NONBTAT022385". The record is from RNAcentral. Lineage: Eukaryota; Metazoa; Chordata; Mammalia; Artiodactyla; Bovidae.
AACUGGCCAUGAGUCCUGGCAGCAGGUCUGCAGCACACCAUAGUUGAAACUAGUCUGUGGGAAAUGAGUCAGAUGUCCUUAGCAGCUUGGUCUUGUAGAUGACUCCUAAUCCUUUCUCCUUUUGGGAUGAUCCGAGGAGAAGGAACAAGUUUCCCUGUUCUCUUCUCAAUCCUCAGCCAGGCUUAUCUCUGAUCUCACUUCUGAAGAGGAGCAUUGCUAACAAGUGGUCAGUACCCUCUUUAAAGAAUGACUCUCCAAUGACUCUCACCUCAAAACCAGAAUCUGUUCAUGCUAGGCUGCUUUGAGAAACCCUCUAGAAUAAGGAUGGGCCCUUUAAGAAGACCUUCAAUGUGGCUGUGAUGGUUGCAUCUCUAGCUGCCGUCUUUGACCAUCUCCUAGAUGAG